ACAUGCGACCAUAGGACGUUGAAAACAAGGUUUCCCGUCCGCUCAGCUCUAUUCAAGCAACGUACCGGCUGAUUAGUAGUAUUGUGGAUGGCCAGAUGCGAAUCCCGGAUGUUGUAUGUU
This 120-nucleotide ribosomal RNA is filed under the name Phaeosphaeriaceae sp. SRC1lsM3a. Lineage: Eukaryota; Fungi; Ascomycota; Dothideomycetes; Pleosporales; Phaeosphaeriaceae. The record is from RNAcentral.